UACGAAGGGUGCAAGCGUUAAUCGGAAUUACUGGGCGUAAAGCGUGCGUAGGCGGUUCGUUAAGUCUGAUGUGAAAGCCCUGGGCUCAACCUGGGAAUGGCAUUGGAUACUGGCGGGCUAGAGUGCGGUAGAGGGGUGCGGAAUUCCCGGUGUAGCGGUGAAAUGCGUAGAGAUCGGGAGGAACAUCUGUGGCGAAGGCGGCACCCUUGACCAGCACUGACGCUUAGGCACGAAAUCGUGGGGAGCAAACAGG
RNAcentral lists this ribosomal RNA (253 nucleotides) under uncultured bacterium. RNAcentral's name for it is "partial 16S ribosomal RNA". It matches the Rfam family "Bacterial small subunit ribosomal RNA", at positions 524 to 776 of the family's 1533-position model. The record is from RNAcentral.